UACGUAGGGACCAAGCGUUGUUCGGAUUUACUGGGCGUAAAGGGCGCGUAGGCGGCAAUUCAAGUCAUCUGUGAAAUCUCCGGGCUUAACUCGGAACGGUCAGAUGAUACUGCUUUGCUAGAGUGCGGAAGGGGCAAUCGGAAUUCUCGGUGUAGCGGUGAAAUGCGUAGAUAUCGAGAGGAACACCAGAGGUGAAGACGGGUUGCUGGGCCGACACUGACGCUGAGGUGCGAGAGCGUGGGGAGCGAACCGG
Molecule: ribosomal RNA, 253 nt
Filed under: uncultured bacterium
Lineage: Bacteria
Description: partial 16S ribosomal RNA
Rfam family: Bacterial small subunit ribosomal RNA
Source: RNAcentral